This 697-nucleotide ribosomal RNA is filed under the name uncultured bacterium. RNAcentral describes it as "bacterial SSU rRNA". It matches the Rfam family "Bacterial small subunit ribosomal RNA", at positions 99 to 795 of the family's 1533-position model. The record is from RNAcentral.
CGGACGGGUGAGUAACGCGUGAAUUACAUGCCCUUCAGAGGGGGAUAGCCCAGGGAAACUUGGAUUAAUACCCCAUGGUCUCGCAAGAGUAAAGGUGGCCGCAAGGCUGUCGCUGAAGGAUUGGUUCGCGCCCUAUCAGCUUGUUGGCGGGGUAACGGCCCACCAAGGCUACGACGGGUACCUGGUCUGAGAGGACGAUCAGGCACACUGGAACUGAGACACGGUCCAGACACCUACGGGUGGCAGCAGUCGAGAAUAAUUCACAAUGGGGGCAACCCUGAUGGUGCAACGCCGCGUGGAGGAUGACGGUCUUCGGAUUGUAAACUCCUGUCAUCCGGGAGUAAGACCUGGCUGUGAACAGCAGACAGGGUUGAUAGUACCGGAAGAGGAAGGGACGGCUAACUUCGUGCCAGCAGCCGCGGUAAUACGAAGGUCCCGAGCGUUGUUCGGAAUCACUGGGCGUAAAGGGAGCGUAGGCGGCGUGGUAAGUCAGAUGUGAAAUCCCGGGGCUCAACCCCGGAACUGCAUCCGAUACUGCCGUGCUAGAGGAUUGGAGAGGUAGCUGGAAUUCUUGGUGUAGCAGUGAAAUGCGUGGAUAUCAAGAGGAACACUCGUGGCGAAAGCGAGCUACUGGACAACUCCUGACGCUGAGGCUCGAAGGCCAGGGUAGCGAAAGGGAUUAGAUACCCCUGUAGUC